UACGGAGGGGACUAGCGUUGUUCGGAAUUACUGGGCGUAAAGCGCACGUAGGCGGAUUUGUAAGUCAGGGGUGAAAUCCCGGGGCUCAACCUCGGAACUGCCUUUGAUACUGCGAAUCUCGAGUCCGGAAGAGGUGAGUGGAAUUCCUAGUGUAGAGGUGAAAUGCGCAGAUAUCAGGAGGAACACCGGUGGCGAAGGCGGGUCUCUGGGCCGAAACUGACGCUGAGGAGCGAAAGCGUGGGGAGCAAACAGG
RNAcentral lists this ribosomal RNA (253 nucleotides) under uncultured bacterium. Its description in RNAcentral is "partial 16S ribosomal RNA". It matches the Rfam family "Bacterial small subunit ribosomal RNA", at positions 524 to 776 of the family's 1533-position model. The record is from RNAcentral.